CAUUAUCACAGCAAACCAUCUUACUUGUUUGUUUUCCAUUGUUGAUAGACAUGAAGAACUUCUUCGCUGCACUCCAUUUCCACAGCAACAAUCAACAUCUUUGACAUGGCAGGAUCAAGUGGGAAUUCAACCAUUUGUCGUCCAAGUGGGGUUAGGUUACCUGUGUUAUCAAGUGCGCCAAGAAUCCAAAGUUGAUACAUUGAGUUGAGAAUAUUAUCCUGUAGAGAAAAUUACCAUGUCAGUGAGGUGGUUGAUAGAUUGGGUCAAGUCAUACUUGAGAGAAAUGAAGCAAAUUUUGACGAACCUGACUGAUGGGAUACACUUGGAGAGCAUCCAUUCCAAUUUUUGGAUUG
Molecule: long non-coding RNA, 353 nt
Organism: Dendronephthya gigantea
Lineage: Eukaryota; Metazoa; Cnidaria; Anthozoa; Malacalcyonacea; Nephtheidae
Exons: 3
Source: RefSeq, a predicted model, not a curated record